UUAGUUGCAGGGUAUAGACCCGAAACCCGGUGAUCUAGCCAUGGGCAGGUUGAAGGUUGGGUAACACUAACUGGAGGACCGAACCGACUAAUGUUGAAAAAUUAGCGGAUGACUUGUGGCUGGGGGUGAAAGGCCAAUCAAACCGGGAGAUAGCUGGUUCUCCCCGAAAGCUAUUUAGGUAGCGCCUCGUGAACUCAUCUCCGGGGGUAGAGCACUGUUUCGGCUAGGGGGUCAUCCCGACUUACCAACCCGAUGCAAACUGCGAAUACCGGAGAAUGUUAUCACGGGAGACACACGGCGGGUGCUAACGUUCGUCGUGAAGAGGGAAACAACCCAGACCGCCGGCUAAGGUCCCAAAGUCAUAAUUAAGUGGGAAACGAAGUGGGAAGGCUCAGACAGCCAGGAUGUUGGCUUAGAAGCAGCCAUCAUUUAAAGAAAGCGUAAUAGCUCACUGGUCGAGUCGGCCUGCGCGGAAGAUGUAACGGGGCUAAAUUAUGCACCGAAGCCGCGGCAGCGAUAUGUAAAUAUUGUUGGGUAGGGGAGCGUUCUGUAAGCCUGUGAAGGUGACCUGUGAGGGUUGCUGGAGGUAUCAGAAGUGCGAAUGCUGACAUAAGUAACGAUAAUGCGGGUGAAAAACCCGCACGCCGGAAGACCAAGGGUUCCUGUCCAACGUUAAUCGGGGCAGGGUGAGUCGACCCCUAAGGCGAGGCUGAAAAGCGUAGUCGAUGGGCAACGGGUUAAUAUUCCCGUACUGGUGGUAACUGCGAAGGGGGGACGGAGAAAGCUAAAUCAUCCGGGCGACGGUUGUCCCGGUUUAAGCGUGCAGGUGGACUGACCAGGCAAAUCCGGUCGGUUGUUAACACUGAGGCGUGACGACGAGCCACUACGGUGGUGAAGUGAUUGAUGCUCUGCUUCCGGGAAAAGCCUCUAAGCUCCAGGUUACCAUUAAUCGUACCCCAAACCGACACAGGUGGUCAGGUAGAGAAUACUCAGGCGCUUGAGAGAACUCGGGUGAAGGAACUAGGCAAAAUGGUGCCGUAACUUCGGGAGAAGGCACGCUGGCA
RNAcentral lists this ribosomal RNA (1064 nucleotides) under Morganella morganii subsp. morganii. Its description in RNAcentral is "partial 23S ribosomal RNA". It matches the Rfam family "Bacterial large subunit ribosomal RNA", at positions 696 to 1756 of the family's 2925-position model. Lineage: Bacteria; Pseudomonadati; Pseudomonadota; Gammaproteobacteria; Enterobacterales; Morganellaceae. The record is from RNAcentral.